AUGCAUGUCUAAGUACAAGCCGAUUUAAGGCGAAACCGCGAAUGGCUCAUUAAAUCAGCUAUGAUUCAUUGGAUCUGUACCCACACUUACUUGGAUAACUGUGGUAAUUCUAGAGCUAAUACAUGCACCACGUCUCUGACCGCAAGGGAAGAGCGCUUUUAUUAGUUCAAAACCGGUCGGGCCUCGGUCCGUCACCCCACCGUGUUGAAUCUGAAUAACUUGUCGCUGAGCGCACGGUCUCCGCACCGGCGCCGCCUCUUUCAAGUGUCUGCCUUAUCAGCUUUCGAUUGUAGGUUAUACGCCUACAAUGGCUAUAACGGGUAACGGGGAAUCAGGGUUCGAUUCCGGAGAGGGAGCCUGAGAAACGGCUACCACAUCUAAGGAAGGCAGCAGGCACGCAAAUUACCCACUCCCGGCACGGGGAGGUAGUGACGAAAAAUAACGAUGCGAGACUCAUCCGAGGCCUCGCAAUCGGAAUGAGUACACUUUAAAUCCUUUAACGAGGAUCUAUUGGAGGGCAAGUCUGGUGCCAGCAGCCGCGGUAAUUCCAGCUCCAAUAGCGUAUAUUAAAGUUGUUGCGGUUAAAAAGCUCGUAGUUGGAUUUCAGUUCUGGACUGACGGUUCACCGCCCGGUGAUCACUGUCACGCU
This 649-nucleotide ribosomal RNA is filed under the name Hyas araneus. RNAcentral describes it as "SSU rRNA". It matches the Rfam family "Eukaryotic small subunit ribosomal RNA", at positions 51 to 686 of the family's 1831-position model. The record is from RNAcentral. Lineage: Eukaryota; Metazoa; Arthropoda; Malacostraca; Decapoda; Majidae.